Nelumbo nucifera (sacred lotus) is the source of this 5074-nucleotide RNA transcript. It is a transcript of the gene named histone-lysine N-methyltransferase ATX4-like, with no coding region annotated. NCBI's taxonomy places the organism in Eukaryota, Viridiplantae, Streptophyta, Magnoliopsida, Proteales, Nelumbonaceae. The record is from RefSeq and is a predicted model, not a curated record.
CUAAGGCUUAGGAACGAGAAACAGAGACACAACGCGAGCGAUCAGCGAUGUCCAUCAAAGCUCAAAGGCAUUAUUUGUUACGCAUUAAUUCGCCGUUCCCGCGGACCCCUCCAUGAUCUCCCUCGCUUUUCUUUCACCCUUUUCGAUUUGGAUUUAAGUUUGGAGCCAAAAGACGAACAAGAAAAAAUUUGCUAAGAUGCCACGUUACUUGUAUUUUAUAAAAGUUAUUAAAUAAAUAUAAUAGGAUAUAUAAAAAAAAACACGUUAUUGUUCCCUUCGACCCAGAGGCAGUUGGAGCUUGCCGCACAGAUCCCCUAAUCCUUUAACUGCUCGAAUUUCGCCUCUCCAUUCCCGUCUUGUCACUCAAGGUGCUGCUGGAUUUUCACCCGCUUAAUUCGUCGAGUUUCCUGCUUGAUUUUUUUUUUCGCUUCGGAGAUUAGUUUUGUUUUCUCACUGGUCUUUGUGCAUUAGUCCGCUAACAAAGAUUGGGUUCUCUCUCUCGAAUUCCUCUGACCUUCGGUUCGUUUUUCCAAUUUAGGGUUUCGCGGGCGUAAUUAGGGGUUUUACUGGGGUUUCUGUUUGAUUUGGAAGAUAAAAUUUGCUCCCUUUCUUACUGGAGUGGACUACCAUGAAAGGAGAAACGGAAUCGAUAAUGUGGAGUUUCGUUUUCUCCUAAUUCCGUGGCCGGGUUCGAGGGUUUCGUUGUGAAAUUAGGGUUUCUCUCUGUCUUAAGAGAGAAAUUUCGUUUCUUAUUGCGUUGUUCCUGCAAUUAGGGAGGAUGAUAAUCAAACGGAACUUGAAAACGAAAAUGCCCAAUCUCAAGCGGUGCAGAGCCGAGAAGCUAGGUUACGAGGAAGACGAGACCUUAAGGAACGCAAAGAAGCGGAAGGAGAACGAGUACUACCCUCUUGAUCUACUCGGAGAGGUCGCCGCCGGGAUACUCCCUUUCACCGGUUACGGUCUCCAGAGAGGGUUCCGGGAUGACGGCGAGGAGUUCAGUAGCGUUGCGGCUUCAUGGUGUACCGAAUUGUCUUCUUACCCCGCGGAGGCGGAGUCGGUGUCCAAGAGACGAGACGGUUUGAAUGCGAAGAUUCAGAAUGCAGAGGCUUUUCGACCACCACUCGUCAAGACGUCUCGAGGACGCGUUCAGGUGCUCCCUUCUCGCUUCAAUGAUUCUGUUCUUCAUCCGUGGAAGAAAGAGAAGACCAAAUCGAGUGUCCUAGAAACUGGUUUCGACACCGAAGCUGCAGUCCCUAAGAAUGAUAAAUUUAGCUUUAAAAGCCUAAAAUUUGACACCCGGCUUAAUAAGAAACAACGCAAGCAGGAUAAGUUCGGCCACUAUAGCACUAAGUACACUCGGUUGUUCGCAGAAGAAUGCCAAGAAGAAGAAGAUGAAGAAGAAGAAGAGGAAGAAGAAGAAGAAGUAGAAGAAGAAGAAGAGGAAGAAGAAGAGAUGGGUUAUUCGGUGUCGAAGAACUUCGAUAUUAGAAAGAAUCCUAGCUCGCGGAGUUCUCUUACCUCUCUUCACGAGGCUCCCGUUGAAGUUGAGAGGUUUCCAGCCUUGGAAGAACUUAAGGAGCUUGAAUUGACAGGCGAAUAUAAACCAACUAAGGAGAACAGCGAGAAACGAAAGGGUUUCUAUAGACCGGAGGACUUUGUUUUGGGUGACAUUGUUUGGGCAAAAUCUGGGAAGAGGUAUCCUGCUUGGCCUGCUAUCGUUAUUGAUCCAAUGUCGCAAGCUCCUGAAACGGUUUUGAAUUCUUGUGUUGCGGGAGCCAUUUGUGUAAUGUUCUUCGGCUACUCCAGAAAUAGGAAAGAAAGGGAGUAUGCAUGGGUGAAACAUGGGAUGAUUUUUCCAUUUAUAGAUUAUUUGGACAGAUUUCAGGGGCAGACCCAAUUGUACAAAAGCAAACCCAGUGAUUUUCGGAUGGCUAUAGAAGAGGCAUUUUUAGCAGAACAUGGUUUUAUGGAAGUGCCUGCGGAGGAUAUGAAUGUGGUGGCUGGACAACCAACUUAUGAUCAAUCUAUUCCUAGAGGGGUUCAAGAGGCUACUGGUUCAAACGAGGAUCAAGAGUGCUACUCCCUGGACCAGGAUGCAUUUGAGGAGAAGAAAGGUGCACGGCCCUGUGAUGGCUGUGGGUUGAGUAUAACCUUUAAAGCUAUGAAGAAAUUGAAGGGAUCAACUCCUAAAGGCCAAUUUUUAUGUAAACAUUGUGCUAGGUUAUUAAAAUCAAAACAGUAUUGUGGCAUAUGCAAGAAAAUUUGGCAUCAUUCUGAUGGUGGGAGUUGGGUACGUUGUGAUGGAUGUAAAGUAUGGGUUCAUGCGGAGUGUGACAAAAUCACCAGCAAUGUUUUCAAGGAUCUGGAAGACACUGAUUAUUACUGCCCCGACUGCAAAGCAAAAUUUAACUUUGAACUAUCAGAUUCAGAAAAAUGUCAGCAAAAGAAUAAAUCUAACAAAAGUACUGAGCAAUUUGUGAUGCCGGACAAAAUAGAUGUUAUGUGCUGUGGCGUGGAUGGGACAUAUUUUCCAAGUCUUCAUUUAGUUGUUUGUAAUUGUGGGUCAUGUGGGAAGGAAAAGCGAUCUCUUAGUGAUUGGGAGCGACAUACAGGUUCCAAAAAGAAAAAUUGGAAGACAAGUGUUAAAGUCAAAGGUUUAAUGCUACCAUUGGAACAAUGGAUGUUCCAAAUGGCAGAGUAUCAUGAGCGUUCUCUUGUUUCUGUAAAUCCUUUUAAACGGUCUUCUCCAAAGUUAAGGAAACAGAAACUGCUAGAUUUCUUGCAAGAGAAGUAUGAGCCCGUAUUUGCAAAGUGGACAACAGAACGAUGUGCUAUCUGUCGAUGGGUUGAAGAUUGGGAAUACAAUAAAAUAAUUAUCUGCAAUAGAUGUCAAAUUGCAGUCCACCAAGAAUGCUAUGGAGCAAGAAAUGUUUGUGAUUUCACUUCGUGGGUUUGUAGAGCAUGUGAAACACCCGAGGUCAAACGGGAAUGUUGCCUUUGUCCUGUAAAAGGUGGUGCUCUGAAGCCAACUGAUGUUGAUUCGUUGUGGGUUCAUGUCACAUGCGCUUGGUUUCAACCUGAAGUUUCUUUCUCUAGUGAUGAGAAAAUGGAACCUGCUGUUGGGAUCUUGAGAAUUCCAUCAAAUUCUUUUGUAAAGGUCUGUGUGAUUUGCAAGCAAAUGCAUGGUUCCUGCACUCAGUGUUGCAAGUGUUCUACUUAUUAUCAUGCAAUGUGUGCAUCGAGGGCAGGGUAUCGCAUGGAGUUGCAUUGCUUGGAGAAAAGUGGGAGGCAAAUUACAAGAAUGGUCUCAUAUUGUGCUUACCACAGGGCCCCAAACCCAGAUACUGUUCUAGUCAUACAAACUCCAAUAGGGGUUUUCUCUGCCAAAAACCUGCUUAAAAAUAAGAAGCAGAAUGCUUCAAGGCUUAUUUCGUCUAAGAGAGCAAACCUUCAAGAAGAUUCAACCUCAGAGGCUGAUCAGUUUGAGCCAUCAUCUGCUGCAAGGUGCCGGGUAUAUAAAAGAUCAAAAAAUAAGCGUAUGGGAGAAGAAGCAAUUGCCCAUCGUGUAAAGGGGCCCUGCCAUCAUCCUUUAGAUGCAAUAGAAUGCCUGAACACAUUUAGGGAAGAUAAGGAUGUUAAAUCUUUUUCCACAUUCAGGGAACGCCUUUAUCACUUGCAGAGAACCGAAAAUGAUAGGGUUUGCUUUGGUAGAUCUGGUAUACAUGGAUGGGGUCUUUUUGCACAUCGAAAUAUUCAAGAGGGAGAAAUGGUUAUUGAGUAUCGUGGUGAACAAGUCAGGCGUAGUGUUGCAGAUCUGAGGGAGGCACGUUAUCGAUUGGAGGGAAAAGAUUGCUAUCUAUUUAAGAUCAGUGAAGAGGUGGUGGUUGAUGCCACAGACAAGGGGAAUAUAGCACGCUUGAUUAACCAUUCUUGCAUGCCAAACUGCUAUGCAAGGAUAAUGAGUGUGGGUGAUGAUCAGAGCCGGAUUGUACUCAUUGCUAAGAACAAUGUUUCUGCUGGGGAUGAGCUAACGUAUGAUUACUUGUUUGAUCCUGAUGAAUGUGAUGAGUUCAAGGUCCCCUGCCUGUGUAAAGCACCCAACUGCAGGGAAUUUAUGAACUAGGUUACACGCGAUUCCCAUUGUUUCUCCACCUGGGGCACUAACCCAUCUCCCCUUGUGAGAGAGAUCUCAUAAUUUUACUUGCCAAGUUUGUAUCUUCGCCGCCAAUUGUUUCCAAAGCUCAAUAAGGGCUCAACGUUUUCUGGUGCUGUUCGGUAUUUUGCCUGUCCCAGUUUGUGAGCGGUGGCGGUGCCCAGUGAACCACCCAACCAGUCGCAACCUCCGAGAUCUCUCUCUCUCACACACGCACGCACACAAAGAGGAGAGGGUGCAAUCCUGGGUUGUUACAGUCUCGUCCGGAGGUCACUGUACUACGGCGGACACACAAGUACCGACUGCCGAUCUCCAUUAACAGAGUCAAUAGACAGCGUCUCUGAAACGAAUCGGGAUUUGCUCCUCACAACUCCCUCUGAAACUCUCUGUUUUCAAUACAAGCAACUUCUCCUAAAUCCCCCAGAAGCGUACGGUCUCCUCGUCACAAUACUUCCGUCCCUUAAAAGAACCAAGCUCUCAUGGGUCCACUCCAUAUUGUACUUGUAGACUUCAUCUCCCUGAGCAGCAAAAUCGAAGCCUUCCAUUAGAAGCACAGAAUGUAGACGUGAAAUUUCAUAUACCACAAAUGAAAAAAGGGCUUCGGUUUAGCCACUUCAUCUGUUAUCAAUCUGCCCCUUGAGUCAGGUGGAGUUGGAGAUGGGAAAAGAAUAUCUGGUCAAUGGUUUCGUUAAUGGCAUUCAAGAGCAAACCAUUGAGUACUAAUGUUUUGUCUAUUCAUUUAAUUAAUUGUCGAUGCAAGGCAGGUUCAGUUGCGAACCAAAAUUCAAUUUGAAAAUGUCAACAUGGGCAGACCUUUCUUUUUUUUUUUUUUUUUUCUUUUUCUUUUUAAUAGUAACAGUAACAUGAGUGACGUUGUUUUAAUAUCCAUGGCUGAGAAAAGAGCAAAUGUUGAAUUCUGUA